UGAAUUGAUGUGAUCAUGUCAAUCUUUAUUUAUAUAGUUUUUUUUUUUUUCAUUAGGAUGGUCAUAAGCAAUGUAGCCCCAGGGGCACGGUGGCGUGGGUUUCAGCCUCUUUGUUUGGUGGUGCUCACACUAUUACUUCUUUUUUGUUUUUUAAGUCCUCAUAAGGUAUGAAAGUAAUCGAAUAAUUUUGUUUGUCUGCUCACCUGUGCCUUGCAUAUUUCAGCUACCUGGCUUCGCACUUGCAGAUAGUUGUCAGAGGAUUUAUAAGAUUUUGUAAGAAUAUCAAUUGCUUCCUCGGUCGGUAUUACUCCAGCUAAACCUUCUUCGAUAUCCUGUUGAUAACAAAAGCCUAUAAGAUCUUUCAUUAACUUUUUUUUUUUCUUUUUGUCAGGUUUGUGUUGAAUUGGAUAAGUCACUUCACCUAAAAGCGUGCACGCAAGCAUGCAAGCAAGUAUACAAUAAAGAAAAAAAUCUUACCUCCUGGAAAUCUUUGUUUAUAGUUUUAAGAAAGUGAUCGGAUGGAUUCUGGAGGGUUGGGCAAGGGAAGCCAUUCAAAGCAAAAAACUGCAUGUAAUUGAAAGCAAACAAGCACGUUAGUUAAAUUUUUAUUUGGGAAAAUGAUGUUAGUAAUUAAGCCAAUCAUUUCUCUAAUCAUGUUUCAAAAACUAUCAAAACCUUAUGUUGGUUAAAAAAAUUGAUCCACUUUUCAUUUUACUAUGGAUCAAUCAAAAUUUCUAUGGGUAUAGUAGUUUAAGAUUAAAAAGGUGAAAGUUAUUUAUUUAUUUUUUUCUUUUUGGCAGCACCGAGGUUUUGAUGGGUUCUGAACAUUGUGGG
RNAcentral lists this long non-coding RNA (834 nucleotides) under Citrus maxima (pomelo). RNAcentral's name for it is "long non-coding RNA (CMAX_LNC004158)". Lineage: Eukaryota; Viridiplantae; Streptophyta; Magnoliopsida; Sapindales; Rutaceae. The record is from RNAcentral.